This 253-nucleotide ribosomal RNA is filed under the name uncultured bacterium. RNAcentral describes it as "partial 16S ribosomal RNA". It matches the Rfam family "Bacterial small subunit ribosomal RNA", at positions 524 to 776 of the family's 1533-position model. The record is from RNAcentral.
UACGUAGGGCGCAAGCGUUGUCCGGAAUUAUUGGGCGUAAAGAGCUCGUAGGCGGUCUGUUGCGUCUGCCGUGAAAACCCGAGGCUUAACCUCGGGCCUGCGGUGGAUACGGGCAGACUAGAGGUAGGUAGGGGAGAUCGGAAUUCCUGGUGUAGCGGUGAAGUGCGCAGAUAUCAGGAGGAACACCAAUAGCGAAGGCAGCUCGCUGGGACGUUACUGACACUGAGGCGCGAAAGCGUGGGGAGCGAACAGG